CCUACGGGAGGCAGCAGUGGGGGAUAUUGCACAAUGGGGGAAACCCUGAUGCAGCGACGCCGCGUGAGUGAAGAAGUAUUUCGGUAUGUAAAGCUCUAUCAGCAGGGAAGAAAAUGACAGUACCUGACUAAGAAGCCCCUGCUAACUACGUGCCAGCAGCCGCGGUAAUACGUAGGGGGCAAGCGUUAUCCGGAUUUACUGGGUGUAAAGGGAGCGUAGACGGCGAGACAAGUCUGGAGUGAAAGCCCGGGGCCCAACCGCGGGGGUGCACUGGAAACUGCGAGGCUGGAGUGCAGAAGAGGAGAGUGGAAUUCCAAGUGUAGCGGUGAAAUGCGUAGAUAUAAGGAGGAACACCAGUGGCGAAGGCGGCUUUCUGGUCUGUAACUGACGUUGAGGCUCGAAAGCGUGGUGAGCAAACAGGAUUAGAUACCCUGGUAGUC
Molecule: ribosomal RNA, 440 nt
Filed under: uncultured bacterium
Lineage: Bacteria
Description: partial 16S ribosomal RNA
Rfam family: Bacterial small subunit ribosomal RNA
Source: RNAcentral